This is a long non-coding RNA of Thamnophis elegans (Western terrestrial garter snake), 271 nucleotides long. RefSeq lists it as uncharacterized. NCBI's taxonomy places the organism in Eukaryota, Metazoa, Chordata, Lepidosauria, Squamata, Natricidae. The record is from RefSeq and is a predicted model, not a curated record. The transcript is spliced from 3 exons.
GUAAUCUCUAUUGUAGCUGGGCCGAAUGGGAGGACCGAGGCUGAAAAUCUCUGUGGAGGACAGGAGCAUUAUGGAAAAGGAUUGCAAAGGAAGCAAAAGUGACAGGAUUUCUUCUUGAUUGUGCCAUGUGGUCCAGCAAUGGAGCAGCUUUCUCUACCCUGACUUCCUGAGUUCUAGACUUCAUCAAAAGAUGGUUGGAAAGAAAUUAUGAAGAUCCACUUCUCUUCUAAGAAAAUUCCUCACUGCAUCAUAUAUUUUUCUUCUACAUCAG